Molecule: ribosomal RNA, 450 nt
Filed under: uncultured bacterium
Lineage: Bacteria
Description: partial 16S ribosomal RNA
Rfam family: Bacterial small subunit ribosomal RNA
Source: RNAcentral
GUGGGGAAUCUUCCGCAAUGGACGAAAGUCUGACGGAGCGACGCCGCGUGAGUGAAGAAGGCCUUCGGGUCGUAAAGCUCUGUCAUCAGGGACGAAUGGCCGGUGGAGUGGAAAGCCACCGGAUUGACGGUACCUGAGAAGGAAGCCACGGCUAACUACGUGCCAGCAGUCGCGGUAAUACGUAGGUGGCAAGCGUUGUCCGGAAUUAUUGGGCGUAAAGCGCGCGCAGGUGGGAUCUUAAGUCCAUUUUGAAAGUUCGGAGCUCAACUCCGUGAUGGGAUGGAAACUGGGAUUCUUGAGUACCGGAGAGGAAAGCGGAAUUCCCCGUGUAGCGGUGAAAUGCGUAGAUAUGGGGAGGAACACCAGUGGCGAAGGCGGCUUUCUGGACGGUGUCUGACACUGAGGCGCGAAAGCCAGGGGAGCGAACGGGAUUAGAUACCCGAGUAGUCC